This 403-nucleotide ribosomal RNA is filed under the name uncultured bacterium. RNAcentral's name for it is "partial 16S ribosomal RNA". It matches the Rfam family "Bacterial small subunit ribosomal RNA", at positions 355 to 747 of the family's 1533-position model. The record is from RNAcentral.
UGGGGAAUUUUGGACAAUUGGGCGAAAGCCUGAUCCAGCAAUGCCGCGUGUGUGAAGAAGGCCUUCGGGUUGUAAAGCACUUUUGUCCGGAAAGAAAUCCUUGGCUCUAAUACAGUCGGGGGAUGACGGUACCGGAAGAAUAAGCACCGGCUAACUACGUGCCAGCAGCCGCGGUAAUACGUAGGGUGCAAGCGUUAAUCGGAAUUACUGGGCGUAAAGCGUGCGCAGGCGGUUUGCUAAGACCGAUGUGAAAUCCCCGGGCUCAACCUGGGAACUGCAUUGGUGACUGGCAGGCUAGAGUAUGGCAGGAGGGGGGUUAGAAUUCCACGUGUAGCAGUGAAAUGCGUAGAGAUGUGGAGGAAUACCGAUGGCGAAGGCAGCCCCCUGGGCCAAUACUGACGCU